GAUUAACGUUGGCGGCGUGCAUAACACAUGCAAGUUGAGCGUGGCUUUGGAUUUAUCUAAAGUCUAGCAGCGGACGGCUGAGUAAUGCACAGGAACGUACCUCGAAGUGGGGGAUAGCCCAUCGAAAGAUGGGGUAAUACCGCAUGUGGUAGUAAUACCAAAGCAGCAAUGCGCUUUGAGAGCGGCCUGUGUCCUAUCAG
Molecule: ribosomal RNA, 200 nt
Filed under: uncultured bacterium
Lineage: Bacteria
Description: partial 16S ribosomal RNA
Rfam family: Bacterial small subunit ribosomal RNA
Source: RNAcentral